GACGAACGCUGGCGGCGUGCUUAACACAUGCAAGUCGAACGGAAAGGCCUGCUUUCCCUUGUGGAUUGCGGGUACUCGAGUGGCUAACGGGUGAGUAACACGUGCGUGAUCUUCCCCCAACUUCGGUAUAAGCCUGGUGAAACUGGGUCUAAUUCCCUAUUGGACUGCAGGGUGUUGCCUGUUGUGGAAAACGAUUUUCUAGUGGUUGGUGAUGAGCUCGCGGCCUAUCAGCUUGUUUGUGGGGUAAUGGCCUACCAAGGCGGCGACGGGUAGCCGGCAUGGGAAGGUGGACGGCGAGAGUGGGAAUGAGAUACGGGCCAGAGUCAUACGGGAGGCAGCAGUGGGGAAUAUUAGACAAUGGGAGGGAGCAUGAUGCAGCGACGCGGCGUGGGGGAUGACGGGCUUCGGGUAGUAAACUCCGUUCGACCGCGAGGAAGCCACAUGGUGGGAAGGGUGGUGACGGUAGUGGUAGAAGAAGCACCGGCUAACUACGUG
This 495-nucleotide ribosomal RNA is filed under the name uncultured bacterium. RNAcentral describes it as "partial 16S ribosomal RNA". It matches the Rfam family "Bacterial small subunit ribosomal RNA", at positions 28 to 507 of the family's 1533-position model. The record is from RNAcentral.